This 446-nucleotide ribosomal RNA is filed under the name uncultured bacterium. Its description in RNAcentral is "partial 16S ribosomal RNA". It matches the Rfam family "Bacterial small subunit ribosomal RNA", at positions 338 to 795 of the family's 1533-position model. The record is from RNAcentral.
CCUACGGGUGGCAGCAGUCGAGAAUCAUUCACAAUGGGGGCAACCCUGAUGGUGCGACGCCGCGUGGGGGAAUGAAGGUCUUCGGAUUGUAAACCUCUGUCAUGUGGGAGCAAAUUAAAAAGAUAGUACCACAAGAGGAAGAGACGGCUAACUCUGUGCCAGCAGCCGCGGUAAUACAGAGGUCUCAAGCGUUGUUCGGAAUCACUGGGCGUAAAGCGUGCGUAGGCUGUUUCGUAAGUCGUGUGUGAAAGGGGCGGGCUCAACCCGCGGACGGCACAUGAUACUGCGAGACUAGAGUAAUGGAGGGGGAACCGGAAUUCGCGGUGUAGCAGUGAAAUGCGUAGAUAUCGAGAGGAACACUCGUGGCGAAGGCAGGUUCCUGGACAUUAACUGACGCUGAGGCACGAAGGCCAGGGGAGCGAAAGGGAUUAGAUACCCGGGUAGUC